This 66-nucleotide transfer RNA is filed under the name Stenopus scutellatus. Its description in RNAcentral is "tRNA-Arg". Lineage: Eukaryota; Metazoa; Arthropoda; Malacostraca; Decapoda; Stenopodidae. The record is from RNAcentral.
AGCUAAAAAACAAAAUAUUGUGUUUCAGUUUCGACCUGUUUUUCUGGUUACUUUAACCUUUAGCUA